Molecule: ribosomal RNA, 496 nt
Filed under: uncultured bacterium
Lineage: Bacteria
Description: partial 16S ribosomal RNA
Rfam family: Bacterial small subunit ribosomal RNA
Source: RNAcentral
GAUGAACGCUGGCGGCGUGCCUAAUACAUGCAAGUCGAGCGAACAGACGAGGAGCUUGCUCCUCUGACGUUAGCGGCGGACGGGUGAGUAACACGUGGAUAACCUACCUAUAAGACUGGGAUAACUUCGGGAAACCGGAGCUAAUACCGGAUAAUAUAUUGAACCGCAUGGUUCAAUAGUGAAAGACGGUUUUGCUGUCACUUAUAGAUGGAUCCGCGCCGCAUUAGCUAGUUCGUAAGGUAACGGCUUACCAAGGCAACGAUGCGUAGCCGACCUGAGAGGGGGAUCGGCCACACUGAAACUAGGACACGGUCCAACCUCCUACGGGAGGCAGCGGUAGGAAAUCUUCCGCAAUGGGCGAAAGCCUGACGGAGCAACGCCGCGGGGGUGAUGAUGGUCUCGGAUCGUAAAACUCUGUUAUUAGGGAAGAACAAAUGUGUAAGUAACUAUGCACGUCUUGACGGUACCUAAUCAGAAAGCCACGGCUAACUACGUG